Molecule: ribosomal RNA, 1009 nt
Filed under: Pseudoniphargus sp. 2-Andalusia
Lineage: Eukaryota; Metazoa; Arthropoda; Malacostraca; Amphipoda; Allocrangonyctidae
Description: 16S ribosomal RNA
Rfam family: Archaeal large subunit ribosomal RNA (bases 612-966)
Source: RNAcentral
CGCUUUUAUUUGUACUUAUGGAUAAGAAUGGGUAAUAGUACCUUUUGUAUCAGGGUUAUUUAAUUUAUAAAAUAAUUUAUAUUUCUCGAUAUUAACUGAGUUAAAUAAUGAUUUAUGUGUUGAAUAAUUAUAUUAAUUUAUUUAGUAGUGAAAAUUUUUCGUAGUUAAAGGUAUCUUGUUAUUGUAGUGCUAUAAUAUAAGGGUAAGCUUUUUAUUAAGGCAUAUUGGCGGACAAAGGUGUGUGAUAAAUUAGGCUUAAAAUUAGCUAUAUUUUUAAGUUGUUUUAAAUUUUUUAUUUUUGUGGUCAUAAUAUUGCUUACAGCUGUAGUUAGUGUUUAUAAGGUAGUAUAAUUUAUAAUGAAUAAAUUAGUAUUUUUGUUUUUCUAUAAAUUAUAACUCGGAGUUCGUAAAAUAGUUUAUCAAAAACAUUUUUUUAUUUAUAUGAAAUAAGGCCUGCCCAGUGUGGUAUAAACGGCUGCGGUAUUUUGACUGUGCUAAGGUAGCAUAAUAAUUUGUUUUUUAAUUGAAAGCUGGAAUGAAAGGUUUUAUUUACGAUUAGGUUAAUUAUAGGAGGAAUAAUUUGUGUUUACAGUAAAAACACUGUAAUUUAAUAAAGUGACGAUAAGACCCUAUAAGCUUUAUUUGUAAAAUAAGUGGGGUUAAUAAUUUAAUAUUUUUUUGUUUGUCAAAUUUUGCUGGGGCAGCAGUAUUAUUUUAUUUAAUAGAAAAGUGACACGGUUAUGUGAAUAUACGAUCUUUAAGAUGAAGAUAAUUAGGAGAAGUUACUGUAGGGAUAACAGCGCAAUAAUUUUGGAGAGGUCUUAUUGAUGGGAUUGAUUGCGACCUCGAUGUUGAAUUAAGAAUUCUUUUCGCUGCAGCAGGCGAGGAAGAGGGUUUGUUCAACCUUUAAAAUCUUACAUGAUUUGAGUUCAAAUCGGUUUAAGCCAGAUUGGUUUCUAUCUUUUAUAUGAAAUAAUUUAUGUAAGUACGAAAGGGACACGUAAAUUUU